This is a non-coding RNA of Cinara cedri, 624 nucleotides long. Lineage: Eukaryota; Metazoa; Arthropoda; Insecta; Hemiptera; Aphididae. The record is from the annotation of a GenBank genome assembly.
AUAUUUUUUUCAGAUAUUUCAAUAUGUAUAACACUAUAGUAUCGGAAUUUCCGUUUAAGAAUAAUAAUAAUAGUUUAAUGGCCGAUUUUAAAGAGCUGGGAUGUAGGUGAAUAAUAAGAAGAAGUUAUAUCAGUUUAAAGUUAAGACCGAAGGAGUAAGGACAAUAUACUUUAUAUUCAUUUUAAGAUGAUAAAUUGAUAACUCUUCUUUACUUCUCGGAUCUAUACGUUUGAUUGUCUGUAGUUCUCCACAUUCAUAAAACGGAAAAUCGGACAUACCCCAUUUAUGAAGUAGGAUGUUACACUUUCCUUAGCCCGUUAUUAUUGGAUUGAGCGUUGUCCAAUGACACCUUGCAAUAUCCCAACUAGGAACUUUCAUAAAUAGUUCUUUAAUAUGGUCUGUGUUACGGUUUUCUGUCUGUUCUCAACGUCUCGUCCAUAGGUAUUCUACGGACUUUUUCUAAAAUUCUGCAUGCCAAACGGAACCUUUAGACUCAAAGUGUAAUAGUUGUGUUUAGUAGUGGUAGUUUAUGCUGUCUCUCUAAUUUAUGUAGAAUCUUAGUAGUUAAGACAGUCUCCUUAGAUCUGGAAGUGUUGUAAUGUAAAGGGUGGGUAACCACAUUGA